GGUUAAGCGACUAAGCGUACACGGUGGAUGCCCUGGCAGUCAGAGGCGAUGAAGGACGUGCUAAUCUGCGAUAAGCGUCGGUAAGGUGAUAUGAACCGUUAUAACCGGCGAUUUCCGAAUGGGGAAACCCAGUGUGAUUCGUCACACUAUCAUUAACUGAAUCCAUAGGUUAAUGAGGCGAACCGGGGGAACUGAAACAUCUAAGUACCCCGAGGAAAAGAAAUCAACCGAGAUUCCCCCAGUAGCGGCGAGCGAACGGGGAGGAGCCCAGAGCCUGAAUCAGUGUGUGUGUUAGUGGAAGCGUCUGGAAAGGCGCGCGAUACAGGGUGACAGCCCCGUACACAAAAAUGCACAUGCUGUGAGCUCGAUGAGUAGGGCGGGACACGUGGUAUCCUGUCUGAAUAUGGGGGGACCAUCCUCCAAGGCUAAAUACUCCUGACUGACCGAUAGUGAACCAGUACCGUGAGGGAAAGGCGAAAAGAACCCCGGCGAGGGGAGUGAAAAAGAACCUGAAACCGUGUACGUACAAGCAGUGGGAGCACGCUUAGGCGUGUGACUGCGUACCUUUUGUAUAAUGGGUCAGCGACUUAUAUUCUGUAGCAAGGUUAACCGAAUAGGGGAGCCGAAGGGAAACCGAGUCUUAACUGGGCGUUAAGUUGCAGGGUAUAGACCCGAAACCCGGUGAUCUAGCCAUGGGCAGGUUGAAGGUUGGGUAACACUAACUGGAGGACCGAACCGACUAAUGUUGAAAAAUUAGCGGAUGACUUGUGGCUGGGGGUGAAAGGCCAAUCAAACCGGGAGAUAGCUGGUUCUCCCCGAAAGCUAUUUAGGUAGCGCCUCGUGAAUUCAUCUCCGGGGGUAGAGCACUGUUUCGGCAAGGGGGUCAUCCCGACUUACCAACCCGAUGCAAACUGCGAAUACCGGAGAAUGUUAUCACGGGAGACACACGGCGGGUGCUAACGUCCGUCGUGAAGAGGGAAACAACCCAGACCGCCAGCUAAGGUCCCAAAGUCAUGGUUAAGUGGGAAACGAUGUGGGAAGGCCCAGACAGCCAGGAUGUUGGCUUAGAAGCAGCCAUCAUUUAAAGAAAGCGUAAUAGCUCACUGGUCGAGUCGGCCUGCGCGGAAGAUGUAACGGGGCUAAACCAUGCACCGAAGCUGCGGCAGCGACGCUUAUGCGUUGUUGGGUAGGGGAGCGUUCUGUAAGCCUGCGAAGGUGUGCUGUGAGGCAUGCUGGAGGUAUCAGAAGUGCGAAUGCUGACAUAAGUAACGAUAAAGCGGGUGAAAAGCCCGCUCGCCGGAAGACCAAGGGUUCCUGUCCAACGUUAAUCGGGGCAGGGUGAGUCGACCCCUAAGGCGAGGCCGAAAGGCGUAGUCGAUGGGAAACAGGUUAAUAUUCCUGUACUUGGUGUUACUGCGAAGGGGGGACGGAGAAGGCUAUGUUGGCCGGGCGACGGUUGUCCCGGUUUAAGCGUGUAGGCUGGUUUUCCAGGCAAAUCCGGAAAACUAAGGCUGAGGCGUGAUGACGAGGCACUACGGUGCUGAAGCAACAAAUGCCCUGCUUCCAGGAAAAGCCUCUAAGCAUCAGGUAACAUCAAAUCGUACCCCAAACCGACACAGGUGGUCAGGUAGAGAAUACCAAGGCGCUUGAGAGAACUCGGGUGAAGGAACUAGGCAAAAUGGUGCCGUAACUUCGGGAGAAGGCACGCUGAUAUGUAGGUGAAGUCCCUCGCGGAUGGAGCUGAAAUCAGUCGAAGAUACCAGCUGGCUGCAACUGUUUAUUAAAAACACAGCACUGUGCAAACACGAAAGUGGACGUAUACGGUGUGACGCCUGCCCGGUGCCGGAAGGUUAAUUGAUGGGGUCAGCGCAAGCGAAGCUCUUGAUCGAAGCCCCGGUAAACGGCGGCCGUAACUAUAACGGUCCUAAGGUAGCGAAAUUCCUUGUCGGGUAAGUUCCGACCUGCACGAAUGGCGUAAUGAUGGCCAGGCUGUCUCCACCCGAGACUCAGUGAAAUUGAACUCGCUGUGAAGAUGCAGUGUACCCGCGGCAAGACGGAAAGACCCCGUGAACCUUUACUAUAGCUUGACACUGAACAUUGAGCCUUGAUGUGUAGGAUAGGUGGGAGGCUUUGAAGUGUGGACGCCAGUCUGCAUGGAGCCGACCUUGAAAUACCACCCUUUAAUGUUUGAUGUUCUAACGUUGACCCGUAAUCCGGGUUGCGGACAGUGUCUGGUGGGUAGUUUGACUGGGGCGGUCUCCUCCUAAAGAGUAACGGAGGAGCACGAAGGUUGGCUAAUCCUGGUCGGACAUCAGGAGGUUAGUGCAAUGGCAUAAGCCAGCUUGACUGCGAGCGUGACGGCGCGAGCAGGUGCGAAAGCAGGUCAUAGUGAUCCGGUGGUUCUGAAUGGAAGGGCCAUCGCUCAACGGAUAAAAGGUACUCCGGGGAUAACAGGCUGAUACCGCCCAAGAGUUCAUAUCGACGGCGGUGUUUGGCACCUCGAUGUCGGCUCAUCACAUCCUGGGGCUGAAGUAGGUCCCAAGGGUAUGGCUGUUCGCCAUUUAAAGUGGUACGCGAGCUGGGUUUAGAACGUCGUGAGACAGUUCGGUCCCUAUCUGCCGUGGGCGCUGGAGAACUGAGGGGGGCUGCUCCUAGUACGAGAGGACCGGAGUGGACGCAUCACUGGUGUUCGGGUUGUCAUGCCAAUGGCACUGCCCGGUAGCUAAAUGCGGAAGAGAUAAGUGCUGAAAGCAUCUAAGCACGAAACUUGCCCCGAGAUGAGUUCUCCCUGACUCCUUGAGAGUCCUGAAGGAACGUUGAAGACGACGACGUUGAUAGGCCGGGUGUGUAAGCGCAGCGAUGCGUUGAGCUAACCGGUACUAAUGAACCGUGAGGCUUAACCUU
This 2904-nucleotide ribosomal RNA is filed under the name Escherichia coli. RNAcentral describes it as "23S ribosomal RNA". It matches the Rfam family "Bacterial large subunit ribosomal RNA". The record is from RNAcentral. Lineage: Bacteria; Pseudomonadati; Pseudomonadota; Gammaproteobacteria; Enterobacterales; Enterobacteriaceae.